RNAcentral lists this transfer RNA (84 nucleotides) under Candidatus Omnitrophota bacterium. Its description in RNAcentral is "Candidatus Omnitrophica bacterium tRNA-Tyr". It matches the Rfam family "tRNA". From Rfam's summary of the family: Transfer RNA (tRNA) molecules are approximately 80 nucleotides in length. Their secondary structure includes four short double-helical elements and three loops (D, anti-codon, and T loops). Further hydrogen bonds mediate the characteristic L-shaped molecular structure. tRNAs have two regions of fundamental functional importance: the anti-codon, which is responsible for specific mRNA codon recognition, and the 3' end, to which the tRNAs corresponding amino acid is attached (by aminoacyl-tRNA synthetases). tRNAs cope with the degeneracy of the genetic code in two manners: having more than one tRNA (with a specific anti-codon) for a particular amino acid; and 'wobble' base-pairing, i.e. permitting non-standard base-pairing at the 3rd anti-codon position. Lineage: Bacteria; Pseudomonadati; Candidatus Omnitrophota. The record is from RNAcentral.
GGGCAGGUGGCCGAGCGGAAAUGGCAGCAGACUGUAAAUCUGCCGGCGUAGCCUACGGAGGUUCAAAUCCUUCCCUGCCCACCA